This 253-nucleotide ribosomal RNA is filed under the name uncultured bacterium. RNAcentral describes it as "partial 16S ribosomal RNA". It matches the Rfam family "Bacterial small subunit ribosomal RNA", at positions 524 to 776 of the family's 1533-position model. The record is from RNAcentral.
UACGUAGGGGGCAAGCGUUGUCCGGAAUCAUUGGGCGUAAAGAGCGUGUAGGCGGUCCGGUCAGUCGGUUGUGAAAGUCAAGGGCUCAACCCUUGAAUGCCGGCCGAUACUGCCGGGCUAGAGUCCGGAAGAGGUGAGUGGAAUUCCUGGUGUAGCGGUGAAAUGCGCAGAUAUCAGGAGGAACACCGAUGGCGAAGGCAGCUCGCUGGGACGGUACUGACGCUGAGACGCGAAAGCGUGGGGAGCAAACAGG